CCCAUACAUUACCGGCCAGAGGCAGAGAGCAGUGCCUUGUGGAGCCAGGAAGGGCCUACUGAUGGUCACAAAAAUGUCUUUCCGCCUGGCGCCUGUGUGCUACUCUGACGGUGUUGUCUGAAUUAUGGACACAAGGCCCAAGUCUGCUUGAGUUUCCCUUGGAAAUUUUGGUUCUCAGGCAGAAGGGCUCAGGACAAACACCAGAGAACGUGGCAUGCCAAUUUAAGGAUUUAUUGCAUCUUAUAAUUCCACACUCAUUUGCACAUUCUGGCGAUGUCGUUCAUGGAGGUGAUGAUUACUGUGGGGGUUGGACUACGCACAGCCACUUUCCAAGAGCAAUGCAGAAUGGAGGUCUCUCAAGAUUGUACAGCUUAUUCCAAUGACUCCCUGGUGAUGACUCCAAGAUUCAUUAUAGGUAGGAGAUUUAUUCUAAUUCAACUAAUAUUAAUAAAAGUCUACCAUGUUGUAGGCAGUAAGUCAAGCACUGGCAAUAGGUGGAUAAAUAUAGUACAGAUCUUACCUUGUGGUAGCACAUAAUCUAAAAUAAAGAAGACAAAAAGAAAAGAAUGGAAAUUUGGUAGUAGGGAGAGAUUUUACCUUGGAGGUGAUGCCUGCAAACAUUUCUAGCCAUUGCAGAGGCACCAGCACCCUGAGCAGCGCUGCCAAGCUCCUUCUGCCAGGACUAAACUCAGCAUCGCACCAACAAGCCACCGUCGCUUUGAACUGUCUGUGUCAGAUAAGGUAAACUAUUAUAUGGCAAUGAAAAGAAAGACAAACCCAUGCUCCGUAAAUGAUGUUCAACUGUUGGGAUUAAUUUCUCAGCCGAACAGCAUCUUCAGCGUCUCUAAUACCAAAUGAUGCAUUACAAAAAACGAAACAGCCUUUCAGCCAUGUUCAUUAAGAAUCUUGUAAUUAAGAAGUUGCAAGAGAACACAGUGUCCCUCUCUCUGAUUACAGCCCAUGUUUAAAUAUGACAUCUAACAGUUAUAUUCUCUUAAUUCCUCAAAAUGAAGAAUAAAGUAAAAUCAAGACAGGUUAUACCUUUGGUGUUCUUUUUAUAAAUCAAGUCUUAUAAGGAAGAAAUUCCUCUAAAGCGUUUCAGAUUUGGCUCAGAUCAAAUAAAAAGGCAAACAUUACUGGGAAAAUUGCCAUUUGUCAACUGUUCCAUGUCAUAUCAUGUGAUGAUAGAGUUCUCUAAACAGCAAAUGUCAGAUGCUGACACUCUACCGUAUAAACUAAAACAAGGAGAAAAUCGAGCUUAAAUUAUCCAAAAAUAUUGGCAGCAGUACGUUUCUAGUUGAAUGGUGUUUGUGAUGACUAAUAUUUUCUUCCUAAGGUUCUAGCAUGCCUUCAUUUAUUUUCUAUAGGACAUCCCUGCGGGGAGAGACACAGAGAACACAAGAGAGUCGUUAUUUUUAAAGUUAACAAAGAAAAAAUGAUUUUGAAUCCUUGCUUAAUUAAAAAUGGAACAGUACAAGAGGGUGACUCACUUCUCCCGUAAGAAGCUGAAAAUUAAAAAUUAUGCAG
RNAcentral lists this long non-coding RNA (1527 nucleotides) under Equus caballus (horse). RNAcentral's name for it is "lncRNA (ENSECAG00000037292.2)". The record is from RNAcentral. Lineage: Eukaryota; Metazoa; Chordata; Mammalia; Perissodactyla; Equidae.